UGUGUGUGUGUGUGUGUGUGUGUGUGUGCGCACACACACACACACACGUGUGCAUACACACA
Molecule: microRNA precursor, 62 nt
Filed under: Podarcis lilfordi (Lilford's wall lizard)
Lineage: Eukaryota; Metazoa; Chordata; Lepidosauria; Squamata; Lacertidae
Source: RNAcentral